UACGUAGGGUGCAGGCGUUAAUCGGAAUUACUGGGCGUAAAGCGUGCGCAGGCGGUCUUUUAAGUCAGAUGUGAAAUCCCCGGGCUUAACCUGGGAACUGCGUUUGAAACUGGAAGGCUAGAGUGUGGCAGAGGGGGGUUGAAUUCCACGUGUAGCAGUGAAAUGCGUAGAUAUGUGGAGGAACACCGAUGGCGAAGGCAGCCCCCUGGGCUAACACUGACGCUCAUGCACGAAAGCGUGGGGAGCAAACAGG
RNAcentral lists this ribosomal RNA (253 nucleotides) under uncultured bacterium. RNAcentral's name for it is "partial 16S ribosomal RNA". It matches the Rfam family "Bacterial small subunit ribosomal RNA", at positions 524 to 776 of the family's 1533-position model. The record is from RNAcentral.